GAAAAAACUAAAAGAGUUAAACAGUUAAUGUGAACCGAUAAUUCAAAGUUAUUGAAUGUUGGCUUCCUCGGCUGUGUUUAGAAGGCAACAAUUCCUGAUAAGGUCUCUUGGAGGUUUCGGUGAAUGUACCUAUCAGAAUAGACGGCAACAAAUCAAAGCCAUGAGUGGGACUUCGAUUGAGGCUGAUGCUGAGAACAUUCUAAGAGCA
Molecule: unclassified non-coding RNA, 208 nt
Filed under: Hevea brasiliensis (rubber tree)
Lineage: Eukaryota; Viridiplantae; Streptophyta; Magnoliopsida; Malpighiales; Euphorbiaceae
Source: RNAcentral